CUCGCAUUCUGUCAGCGAUCUGGUGGUUCCCAGUUUUGGCAGGCCGUCAUCCAGCUGCUUCCUGUGCUCCUCAUCGGCACGUCCAUCUCAGUUGGCACUGGGUCCUCGACCCUAUUCUGGUUUGAUCGGUGGAUCAGCGACCUACCCCUGGCCGCGAGAUUUCCAGAGCUCUUUGCCAUUGCGGUGGACCCUCCGGUAUCUGUCUAGACGACCCUUAUUGACUUAGGGCGCCUCACCUUAUGUCGCCCCUUUGGCCCGCCUGAAAUGGCCGCAUGGGAUGCUCUCCUCCAGGACAUCGCCCUCCUCCCGAUGAACGUUGAGGACACCCAGGACGGCAUAUCUUGGCGACUGGAGCCCUCCGGUUGCUUUUCCACUAAAUCCCUUGUCGGGGUUUUGGUGCGACAUAUGCCAACGGGUGGCUUAUCAUGGUGGGGGAUAGUAAGACGUCGCCGGUGCCAGGAAGCGGGAUGA
RNAcentral lists this ribosomal RNA (471 nucleotides) under Triticum aestivum (bread wheat). RNAcentral describes it as "partial small subunit ribosomal RNA". The record is from RNAcentral. Lineage: Eukaryota; Viridiplantae; Streptophyta; Magnoliopsida; Poales; Poaceae.